Molecule: ribosomal RNA, 122 nt
Filed under: Petromyzon marinus (sea lamprey)
Lineage: Eukaryota; Metazoa; Chordata; Hyperoartia; Petromyzontiformes; Petromyzontidae
Source: RNAcentral
ACCCAUGGCCAAAUCACCCCAAAUGCUCCUGAUCUUGUGGUAUCUCAGAAGCUAAGCAGGAGUUGGUCAUGGUCAAGAAUUGGAUUGGUGAGCACCAGGGCCUGCAAGGUGUACUAUAGGUG